UUUUCCACGCGUCUCCCUUCCCAGCUCCCCUGUUCCACGACAGAGCCCGUCCAAAGAAUCUAGCCUUCAACCACCCAUGAAUAAGCCCAAGCCACCUUCAUCUCUUCCGCGAUUAGCUCCCUGCUCCUUAUCCCACAGAUUGCGUCUCAAUCAAACUUCCAAACAUGGAUCUCAUCUCUCCUUCUAUCUCGGUCCCAUGCUUAUCUUCCCAUUCCGCAACCAAUUCAUUCUCAUCCUUCCCAGCAUCUUCCUAACCUCCCAACUCCACGCUCCCAGCUCAACCUCAAAUCCCAACUUCAUGGCUUCCGAUUCUUCUUCCCAGACUUCACGGAAAUAGAUUAUCUCCCAGCUCACGGGUCAUCUUUUCUUCAAACCGAAUCAUUCCUAGAUUCUUCCUUGCGCCCGUGUUCAUCUUCCAUGUCAUCUGCAUCUCCCCAACUUCUUCCGCUAGAUCCUACGCUUAUCCCGUUCGGAUUGGUUCCAUCUUCACGGGAUAAACUCAAAUCCCAAAAUCCCCUGUUCCGCUUGAGAACCAGCAACCACCCUCUUCUCCCACGAUGCAGAUCAAGCUUCCAGCACCUUCACUCCCAAUGCCCGAGCUGCCAAAUCCCAUGAAUCAUUCCCUGUUUCACGCAUCUUCAUCUCAGCCAAAUUCCCAGCAUCCCAUUGGUGAACCAUAUCCUCCCCUGUUCCGAGUUCAUCCCUUCUCCCACGGAUCAUUCUGCAUCUAAAGAACAGGCCAACCUCCCUCCGAAUCACAUCACCCAGUAGCAUCGGUUUCUUUCGGAUCCUCUCCAGUGGAACAAGAGUUUAUCCACGAAUAAGCUUCGAAUCCAGCAAGAUCUCGGCAUCGCGUGCGCCCAAUCCUCAUCCGCGUUGAAGCAGCGUUGGUUUCUCCCGCUGCAUUUCCACCGCAUCCAAGGAUCAAAGAAUUUGCCUUAUCCUGUUUCCAUUCAUCCUUAUCUCCCCUCAACCGUGAGCUCUGAAGGGAUCACCUCAAUCUUUCCAUCCUUAUCUGGCACUUGAAACAGAGGAGGAGGGAGGAAGAGCCCGCUGCUUAUAAAAGGGGAGACGCCUCUUCUUCGGGAGCCAACUCUCUUCUCAGGAGGGAAUACCACGAAAAUUAAAACAAAGCAGAGGAGGGAGAGAGGUUUGGAUAUUUUGGGAAUAACUUUCCAUAUACAAAAAAAUAAGAAUGAAGUGCUGAGGGAAAGGAAGCCGAUCGUGAUGCAAAUGGAAGCCCGCUGCUGUGCCACUGCUGCUGUCACCCACAACUUCAUGGAAGGCUGAUCUCCUCUCUNNN
This 1303-nucleotide long non-coding RNA is filed under the name Phoenix dactylifera (date palm). Its description in RNAcentral is "long non-coding RNA (PDAC_LNC008459)". Lineage: Eukaryota; Viridiplantae; Streptophyta; Magnoliopsida; Arecales; Arecaceae. The record is from RNAcentral.